UGUAACAAGGUCUCCGUUGGUGAACCAGCGGAGGGAUCAUUAC
This 43-nucleotide ribosomal RNA is filed under the name Fusarium cf. equiseti MY-2011. RNAcentral describes it as "partial 18S small subunit ribosomal RNA". Lineage: Eukaryota; Fungi; Ascomycota; Sordariomycetes; Hypocreales; Nectriaceae. The record is from RNAcentral.